AAAGUCGUAACAAGGUUUCCGUAGGUGAACCUGCGGAAGGAUCAUUACAGAGUUCAUGCCCUACCGGGUAGAUCUCCCACCCUUGAAUAUACUACCUUUGUUGCUUUGGCGGGCCGCUUUGUCCACCGGCUUCGGCUGGUGAGUGCCCGCCAGAGGACCCAACAUUCUGAAUUACAGUGUCGUCUGAGUACUAUAUAAUAGUUAAAACUUUCAACAACGGAUCUCUUGGUUCUG
This 234-nucleotide unclassified non-coding RNA is filed under the name Ascomycota sp. Its description in RNAcentral is "partial contains small subunit ribosomal RNA, internal transcribed spacer 1, and 5.8S ribosomal RNA". The stretch from base 1 to 47 matches the Rfam family "Eukaryotic small subunit ribosomal RNA", at positions 1785 to 1831 of the family's 1831-position model. Lineage: Eukaryota; Fungi; Ascomycota. The record is from RNAcentral.